GCAACAAGGAGAGGCUACAUGCAAACACAAGGAGUUUCUAGAAUCUGAAGAAGUUCCUGAAUCAAUUUCUGUUGACAAGAAACAUCAGAGUAUUGCUCAGAUAAUCUAUGCUGGAUACAGAGAAAAGGCUGCUGUCAAGCACACAGUAUGUGGUCCAAGAUAGCUCCUAAACUUUAUCUGAGCUCAGUGGAUUGUGUAGAGUACUGUUAUAGAUGGAAGAAGAGUGAAAACUACAGAAAUAGAUGUUGUAAAAGAAGCAGCAGAAAGCAGAGCCCCAUGCUGUAUUACCUAAGGAAGAGGCCUGGAACCAAUAACUGCAUCAUCUGACCUUGCAACACAGGUAGCAGAAACAACAGAAGCUGCUGAUGAUACUGU
Molecule: long non-coding RNA, 375 nt
Organism: Mercenaria mercenaria
Lineage: Eukaryota; Metazoa; Mollusca; Bivalvia; Venerida; Veneridae
Exons: 4
Source: RefSeq, a predicted model, not a curated record